Molecule: ribosomal RNA, 491 nt
Filed under: uncultured bacterium
Lineage: Bacteria
Description: partial 16S ribosomal RNA
Rfam family: Bacterial small subunit ribosomal RNA
Source: RNAcentral
GAUGAACGCUGGCUACAGGCUUAACACAUGCAAGUCGAGGGGAAACGACGGGGAAGCUUGCUUCCCCGGGCGUCGACCGGCGCACGGGUGAGUAACGCGUAUCCAACCUGCCUCUGACUGAGGGAUAACCCGUCGAAAGUCGGCCUAAUACCUCAUGGCAUCGUCUGCGGGCAUCCAACGACGAUUAAAGAUUUCAUCGGUCAGAGAUGGGGAUGCGUCUGAUUAGCUUAUUGGCGGGGUAACGGCCCACCAAGGCGACGAUCAGUAGGGGUUCUGAGAGGAAGGUCCCCCACAUUGGAACUGAGACACGGUCCAAACGCCUACGGGAGGCAGCAGUGAGGAAUAUUGGUCAAUGGGCGAGAGCCUGAACCAGCCAAGUAGCGUGCAGGAUGACGGCCCUAUGGGUUGUAAACUGCUUUUAUGCGGGGAUAAAGUGAGGGACGUGUCCUUCAUUGCAGGUACCGCAUGAAUAAGGACCGGCUAAUUCCGUG